GUCCUGGAAUAGCACAGUUGGUUAAAACAUGGUGCUCAUAAUGCCAGGGUUCCAGGUUCAAUCCCUGUAUGGGACA
Molecule: non-coding RNA, 76 nt
Organism: Podarcis lilfordi (Lilford's wall lizard)
Lineage: Eukaryota; Metazoa; Chordata; Lepidosauria; Squamata; Lacertidae
Source: the annotation of a GenBank genome assembly